Molecule: ribosomal RNA, 555 nt
Filed under: Tamphilus amplicollis
Lineage: Eukaryota; Metazoa; Arthropoda; Insecta; Coleoptera; Curculionidae
Description: partial 16S ribosomal RNA
Rfam family: Bacterial large subunit ribosomal RNA
Source: RNAcentral
AUUAAAAACAUGGCCUAUUGAUAAUAAUUUUAGGUYUGACCUGCCCAAUGAUUUAAUAAUUUAAUGGCCGCGGUAUUUUGACCGUGCAAAGGUAGCAUAAUCAUUAGUUUUUUAAUUGAAAGCUGGUAUGAAAGGUUUGAUGAGAAAAUAACUGUCUCUAUCUAAAUUAAUUAGAAUUUUAUUUUUAAGUAAAAAAGCUUAAAUAUUUAUAGAAGACGAGAAGACCCUAUAGAGUUUUAUAGUUUAUUUUAUGAAUGAAAUUUUAGAAUUUUUUAGUUUAUAAAAUUAACUAUUUAGUUGGGGUGAUUGAAAAAUUAAGUAAACUUUUUCUUUAUAAUUACAUUUAUUUAUGAGUAUUUGAUCCUUAUUUGAAGAUUAAAAGAUAAAAUUACCUUAGGGAUAACAGCGUAAUUUUUUUUUAGAGUUCAAAUUAAAAAAAAAGAUUGCGACCUCGAUGUUGGAUUAAAAGAAAUUAUUGGUGUAGAAGCUAAUAAAUUAGGUCUGUUCGACCUUUAAAAUUUUACAUGAUCUGAGUUUAAACCGGUGUGAGCCAGG